This is a long non-coding RNA of Lolium perenne, 528 nucleotides long. RefSeq lists it as uncharacterized. Lineage: Eukaryota; Viridiplantae; Streptophyta; Magnoliopsida; Poales; Poaceae. The record is from RefSeq and is a predicted model, not a curated record.
UCGAUAAAAAGAAGACUGCAAUGUGGAUCGGGACAAGUUCACUUUAUUCUGUUCACCUGUCUGGUACUAAAAACAUUAGUUCACAUUAUUCAUAGGCGCAAGUUCACUUUGUAUUUUCAGGUUGUUCUUUUGGUUCACAUUAUUGUUGUCUAACACAAUAACAGAAAUUCAAACAAAAAUAAUAGAGGAUGGUCUUCAGCGAGGACAAUCACCUGGAUGACAAACAAUAUGUUCAUCGGAGACAUUUGAACUAUUAUUUUGAGCAUUUCCUGAAGAAAAAAACUACGGGUUGUCACAUGUGUGGCCUCCGGUGCUGAGUGGAAGCUUACGAUUGGGUACUGAACCCCCGAAAGGCCGCCUCCCAGGCUGUGCUGCAGCGACGUGUGCACUGCAUCCUGCUGGCCAACAUUUGCAUCGGUGUCGACACUGCUGCUGCUGUAGAAAUCUCACAAGCUUGCCUCAUGGAGCGAUCUAGUCAGCUGUAUUGGGUUGGCUCAAUCCAAGAAAUAGUACCGAGAAAAAUGCAAG